GUUCUUCCUGUGGUUUACAGAAUAAAAAGGUGUGCUAUGGCAGAAGUGUAGAUAUAAAUUUCAAGUCAGUUUAUACGAACGAAAAGCUGUAUUUGUAUCCAAGAGAAGGAGAAAGGAAAUUACUGAUGGAUAAUCGAGAAGUGAGUGUUAUUUGACAAUAAAAAUCUACAUGUAUUGCCCAUACAAACAUUUUAAGGUGAGUCUCUGUUAAUAACAGUUUGUUUUUACUCUCUCUUAGGUUAAGGAUCCACGACUUCAAGUUUACACUAACUCAGUAAAAUUUACACAAUUGACUGAAAAAGAUAGUGGAAAAUUUGCCAUUUCAACCUUUCAUGGAGAAGUCUCAUAUUUAUUCUCACUGACAAUCUUGGGUGAGAACUUCACAGUUUUUGUAUUCCUUUUCUGUCAAAUGCUGAUUUAAUUUAACUAAAUGCAAGAAAGCUGAACCCACUGCAAAAAACAACCUAAAAUCAUCUAAAUAUGAGCUAAAGGUGUUUUUAUAAUACAUCACAAUAAAGGUUUAUUGAAGUGUGAUCAUAAAAUCCCAAUUCAUUCAAACUGUGGUUACAGAUUCACAUCAUUCAACUGUAUUUUAUUUCCAAUUAGCAUUGUUUGUGUUUUCUUUCAGAUUGUUCAGUGGACAUAUCAUUGUUUUAUGGGAAGGAGUUGGUGCGCACUGUUCCUAGCAAUGCUGAACUCCUGGAAUUCACCCCCUUUCACAGCCUAGACCAGCCUCAGCUUAUGUGGGACCGUUCAAACCCUCACAACAAUUAUGGAGGACGGGGGAAAGUAAGCGGAGACGUCUUUAGGAUUUCCAAAGUCACCCAGGAAGACAACGGCUACUACAACUUUAGACAAAAAAAACAAAACUGUGGUGUUACGGCUAAAACUCACUGUUGAAGGUAAUGCUGGGAGAAUAAUGAAAGCUAUUUUUGAGACAGUCCACUGCACAAGUCAGUAUUUUGUUAUAAAUUAAGAUGUUCUCUUUUACAGAAGAUACCUAUUACUAUGAUUUUGAAGAAUCCGAGGACAUCUUCCUUCAAUUUCCUUGGGCCAGUAGAGACUGGACUGUCACUUUUAAGCCAUAUUACAACGACGAUGAAGAAAUAACAAUCAUAAAAGCAGGAAGUGUAGUCAGAAGCAGCAACCCUUUCCAUCACAAAAUUACAAUGAAAGAUUCUGGCAUAAAUAUCUGUUGCAUAAAAAGUGGAGAUGCUGGCACCUUUAAGUUCAGAGACCCUGCAGGAAACCUGGCUUUGGUUUCUCGUGUGCAAAUUAAUGAAUUUCAUCAUUCAAGGCCAGAUUCCACAAUUGCUGUUUUUAUUAUUGUCGCUAUUAUUGUGGCUGUCCUUGGGGUUCUCUGCUGUUGCUGUUACUGUUGCAAAAAGGGGUGCUGUAAAACAACAGAGCCUCGUUCUCUGAUAGCUCAGAGUGCAACUGAGCCUAAAGUGUAUUAUCAUGGUUUAAAUAAGACCGAAGGUUCAAGAUUUUCUGCUCCACCUUAUCCUGCAGCAUUCCCUCCUCCAGCAGUGAAUGCUGGGAUUUCUCAUGCUGCUGCUGCUGCUUCUUCUGGACCUGUGGAACAUGAACCAACAAAUGAGAAUGCAAAUAUUUCUCAGCCUGAGGUUGCACCUCCAGCUUCAGAGAACUCUGCUCCCUCUUCAUCUUCCGGUUACAACCCUGUGUCUUCAGACUAUCAGCCAAUGUUUGAGCCACACUAUCCAACAUACGAGAUUAGGAACAUAUCUCAGCCUAAGGUCACAGCUGGAGCUUCAGAGCAAUCUGCUCCGUCUUCAUCUUAUGGUUACAACCCUCUGUCUUCAGACUAUCAACCAAUGUUUGAGGUGAAAGGACUAAGCUCUACCUUUGACCUUCCACUCAGUACAGAAAAGUCUUCUGCAGAUGUUUACAAUUCAGAUAAAAUGAACUUUCUGUAACAAGGAAUUAUAGUGCUCUAAUACAUGGCCCAUUAGGGGGAGUAUUGUUAUAGAAUCUGCGCUGUAGAUAUGAGACAGAGGAUACAAGUCGUUUCACUUUCUCCUUGAUAACAGGGAAUCACAUGGAAAGUUAUUGUAAAAAUGAUCAUCAGUGCACUGAUAUUUAUGAAUUAUAUCAGUAUAAAUGUUUUGAUUAAAAUUAAAUUAGAAAAAAUUGACUUAUAAAGUAUGUUCUACUGCCUAUAGAAGAGUUAGAGGUUCAAGAUGUUGGAUAUAUCCAGAACAUGAACACCUUCAACACCCCAAACCUCAAAUGUUGCUUUAACUGCUAAAAGUUUCUAGAGCAAACUAUUUGGGUUACCACUGCUACUUCUACUACUGAUUACUGAGUCACAUUUUGGGGCAGAGGUAGAGCGGUCAACCUCUGAUUGGAGAAUCACAGGUUCAGGUCCUGCUUUGCGUGCCCACAAGUCGAAAUGUUCAAGAGAAAAACACUAAACCUCACGUUGCUCCUGGAGGUCAUUGGAAGACGUCAGUAUUCAGCAUUGGUGUUUACAUUUGUAUGUGCAUGGGUGAAUAGGAUGGUGACUGUAAAGUUUUUUGGACCUUCCAAGAGGGCAGUAAAAGCACCAUAAAAGUAUGCACUUUAUACAUUUUUUAGCAUUUAAUCAAUCUACCAGUUUUUUUAUGUUUUGACAUUUCUAAGAUGUUUCGGUAACACUUUAUAAUAAGAUUCCAUGACAAGCUUUAUUAACACAUUAACAAACAUUAUUAAUGUGCUUAUAGGAUGUUUAUAAGAUAUUUAUAAGCAUAAAUAAGCCAAAUACAGUUUAUAUACAUACUUAGUAAGAUUUAUUAUCAUCUAAAAUGAGACCCAUUGUUUAUGAAGGCUAUAUCAACAAACUGUUAACAAGCUUAACAAAUGUGUUAACAAUCUUUGUCAACGUUACAUUUAGUGAUUUGCAGCACCUCAUCUAAAGUGUUACCGAUGUUUCUGUAUGUUUUUUGUAUAAACUUAUACUGGUUUUAUUUAAAGGGUAUAAAACAAACUUUAAUGUGUGAAAUUAAUCAUUUAAUGUGUUUGUCUAUUUUCUUGUUAAACUGCUUUUAUCUUGAUGAGUUUGUACCAAAUAUAUUUCUACUGGUUAUUUUAUUAAACUAUUGAAAUGCU
This is a long non-coding RNA of Oryzias javanicus (javanese ricefish), 3108 nucleotides long. The record is from Ensembl. Lineage: Eukaryota; Metazoa; Chordata; Actinopteri; Beloniformes; Adrianichthyidae.